GUCGAGCGGCAGCGACACAUUGAACCUUCGGGGGAUUUGUUGGGCGGCGAGCGGCGGACGGGUGAGUAAUGCCUAGGAAAUUGCCCUGAUGUGGGGGAUAACCAUUGGAAACGAUGGCUAAUACCGCAUGAUGCCUACGGGCCAAAGAGGGGGACCUUCGGGCCUCUCGCGUCAGGAUAUGCCUAGGUGGGAUUAGCUAGUUGGUGAGGUAAGGGCUCACCAAGGCGACGAUCCCUAGCUGGUCUGAGAGGAUGAUCAGCCACACUGGAACUGAGACACGGUCCAGACUCCUACGGGAGGCAGCAGUGGGGAAUAUUGCACAAUGGGCGCAAGCCUGAUGCAGCCAUGCCGCGUGUAUGAAGAAGGCCUUCGGGUUGUAAAGUACUUUCAGUAGGGAGGAAGGUUCAUGCGUUAAUAGCGUAUGGAUUUGACGUUACCUACAGAAGAAGCACCGGCUAACUCCGUGCCAGCAGCCGCGGUAAUACGGAGGGUGCGAGCGUUAAUCGGAAUUACUGGGCGUAAAGCGCAUGCAGGUGGUUAGUUAAGUCAGAUGUGAAAGCCCGGGGCUCAACCUCGGAAUUGCAUUUGAAACUGGCUGACUAGAGUACUGUAGAGGGGGGUAGAAUUUCA
Molecule: ribosomal RNA, 630 nt
Filed under: Vibrionaceae bacterium GUDS937
Lineage: Bacteria; Pseudomonadati; Pseudomonadota; Gammaproteobacteria; Vibrionales; Vibrionaceae
Description: bacterial SSU rRNA
Rfam family: Bacterial small subunit ribosomal RNA
Source: RNAcentral